UACGUAGGGUGCGAGCGUUGUCCGGAAUUAUUGGGCGUAAAGGGCUCGUAGGCGGUUUGUCGCGUCGGGAGUGAAAACCUUGGGCUUAACUCAGGGCUUGCUUUCGAUACGGGCAGACUAGAGGUAUGCAGGGGAGAACGGAAUUCCUGGUGUAGCGGUGAAAUGCGCAGAUAUCAGGAAGAACACCCGUGGCGAAGGCGGUUCUCUGGGACGGUACUGACGCUGAGACGCGAAAGCGUGGGGAGCGAACAGG
This 253-nucleotide ribosomal RNA is filed under the name uncultured bacterium. RNAcentral's name for it is "partial 16S ribosomal RNA". It matches the Rfam family "Bacterial small subunit ribosomal RNA", at positions 524 to 776 of the family's 1533-position model. The record is from RNAcentral.